RNAcentral lists this ribosomal RNA (528 nucleotides) under uncultured bacterium. RNAcentral's name for it is "bacterial SSU rRNA". It matches the Rfam family "Bacterial small subunit ribosomal RNA", at positions 335 to 878 of the family's 1533-position model. The record is from RNAcentral.
ACUCCUACGGGAGGCAGCAGUCGGGAAUCUUCCACAAUGGGCGAAAGCCUGAUGGAGCGACGCCGCGUGAGUGAUGAAGGUCUUCGGAUCGUAAAGCUCUGUUACCAGGGACGAAACAAGACGGUACCUGGGGAGGAAGCCACGGCUAACUACGUGCCAGCAGCCGCGGUAAUACGUAGGUGGCGAGCGUUGUCCGGAAUUAUUGGGCGUAAAGGGCGCGUAGGCGGUCGUUUAAGUCAGGUGUGAAAGCCCCCGGCUCAACUGGGGAGUUGCAUCUGAUACUGGGCGACUAGAGUGCAGGAGAGGAAAGUGGAAUUCCGAGUGUAGCGGUGAAAUGCGUAGAUAUUCGGAGGAACACCAGUGGCGAAGGCGGCUUUCUGGACUGCAACUGACGCUGAGGCGCGAAAGCUGGGGGAGCAAAUGGGAUUAGAUACCCCGGUAGUCCCAGCCGUAAACGAUGGAUGCUAGGUGUGGGGGGUAUCGACCCCUUCCGUGCCGCAGUUAACACAAUAAGCAUCCCGCCUGGGG